UGAGUACGAGACGCUAAGGCGUCGAAGUAGUGGAUGUCAUACUUCCAAGAAAAGCUUGCACUGUCAUAAAUAUAAAACGCCUGUACCAUAACCGACACAGGUGGGUAGGUAGAGUAUACUAAGGGGCGCGAGAUAACUCUCUCUAAGGAACUCGGCAAAAUGACUCCGUAACUUCGGGAGAAGGAGUGCCUUAUUCGUAAGGCUGCAAUAACAAGAUCCAAGCAACUGUUUAUCAAAAACACAGGUCUCCGCUAAGUCGUAAGACGAUGUAUGGGGGCUGACGCCUGCCCAGUGCCAGAAGGUUAAAGAAGUCGGUUAGCAUUAGCGAAGCUGGUAACUGAAGCCCUGGUGAACGGCGGCCGUAACAAUAACGGUCCUAAGGUAGCGAAAUUCCUUGUCGGGUAAGUUCCGACCCGCACGAAAGGCGUAAUGAUUUGGAUACUGUCUCGGAGAGGGGCUCGGUGAAAUAGACUUGUCUGUGAAGAUGCGGACUACCUGCACCAGGACAGAAAGACCCUAUGAAGCUUUACUGUAACUUGAAAUUGAAAUUGGACUUUAUUCGCGCAGUAUAGGUGGGAGGUGUUGAUUAUAAUCUUGCGGGAUUAUUGGAGCCAUCAGUGAGAUACCACUCUUGUAAUGUUAGAUUUCUAACUUUGAAUCAUUAUCUGGUCAAAGAACAGUUUCAGGCGGGCAGUUUGACUGGGGCGGUCGCCUCCUAAAUGGUAACGGAGGCGUACAAAGGUUUCCUCUGAACGGGUAGAAAUCGUAUCUAGAGUGUAAAGGCAUAAGGAAGCUUGACUGUGAGACCUACAAGUCGAGCAGGGACGAAAGUCGGUCUUAGUGAUCUGACGGUACUGAGUGGAAAGGCCGUCACUCAACGGAUAAAAGUUACUCUAAGGAUAACAGGCUGAUCUCCCCCAAGAGUUCACAUCGACGGGGAGGUUUGGCACCUCGAUGUCGGCUCAUCGCAUCCUGGGGCGGUAGUACGUCCCAAGGGUUGGGCUGUUCGCCCAUGAAAGCGGUACGCGAGCUGGGUUCAGAACGUCGUGAGACAGUUCGGUCCAUAUCCGGUGUAGGCGUUAGAAUAUUGAGAGGAGCCUUCUUUAGUACGAGAGGACCGAGAAGGACAUACCUCUGGUGUACCAGUUAUCGUGCCAACGGUAAACGCUGGGUAGCUAUGUAUGGAGUGGAUAACCGCUGAAAGCAUCUAAGUGGGAAGCCCACCUCAAGAUAAG
This 1235-nucleotide ribosomal RNA is filed under the name metagenome. RNAcentral describes it as "bacterial LSU rRNA". It matches the Rfam family "Bacterial large subunit ribosomal RNA", at positions 1564 to 2808 of the family's 2925-position model. The record is from RNAcentral.